AUACGGAGGGUGCAAGCGUUACUCGGAAUCACUGGGCGUAAAGCGCGCGCAGGCGGCCCGAUAAGUUGGAUGUGAAAGCCUACGGCUCAACCGUAGAACUGCAUCCAAAACUGUCGGGCUAGAAUCUGGGAGGGGAAGAUGGAAUUAGUUGUGUAGGGGUAAAAUACGUAGAGAUAACUAGGAAUACCAAAAGCGAAGGCGAUCUUCUGGAACAGUACUGACGCUGAGGCGCGAAAGCGUGGGGAGCAAACAGGAUUAGAAACACUAGUAGUCC
RNAcentral lists this ribosomal RNA (274 nucleotides) under uncultured bacterium. Its description in RNAcentral is "partial 16S ribosomal RNA". It matches the Rfam family "Bacterial small subunit ribosomal RNA", at positions 523 to 796 of the family's 1533-position model. The record is from RNAcentral.